RNAcentral lists this ribosomal RNA (224 nucleotides) under Streptococcus lutetiensis. RNAcentral's name for it is "partial 16S ribosomal RNA". It matches the Rfam family "Bacterial small subunit ribosomal RNA", at positions 215 to 438 of the family's 1533-position model. Lineage: Bacteria; Bacillati; Bacillota; Bacilli; Lactobacillales; Streptococcaceae. The record is from RNAcentral.
UCACUAGUAGAUGGACCUGCGUUGUAUUAGCUAGUUGGUGAGGUAACGGCUCACCAAGGCNACGAUACAUAGCCGACCUGAGAGGGUGAUCGGCCACACUGGGACUGAGACACGGCCCAGACUCCUACGGGAGGCAGCAGUAGGGAAUCUUCGGCAAUGGGGGCAACCCUGACCGAGCAACGCCGCGUGAGUGAAGAAGGUUUUCGGAUCGUAAAGCUCUGUGU